UCCUCCAAAUAAGGGAGACCAGUGCCUUC
This 29-nucleotide non-coding RNA is filed under the name Macaca fascicularis (crab-eating macaque). The record is from RNAcentral. Lineage: Eukaryota; Metazoa; Chordata; Mammalia; Primates; Cercopithecidae. RNAcentral also lists the same sequence under 1 other name.